RNAcentral lists this ribosomal RNA (863 nucleotides) under uncultured bacterium. RNAcentral describes it as "bacterial SSU rRNA". It matches the Rfam family "Bacterial small subunit ribosomal RNA", at positions 36 to 893 of the family's 1533-position model. The record is from RNAcentral.
GNAUUGUCAGGCCUAACACAUGCAAGUCGAGCGGGGAAAGGUAGCUUGCUACCUGACCUAGCGGCGGACGGGUGAGUAAUGCUUAGGAAUCUGCCUAUUAGUGGGGGACAACAUUCCGAAAGGAAUGCUAAUACCGCAUACGCCCUACGGGGGAAAGCAGGGGAUCUUCGGACCUUGCGCUAAUAGAUGAGCCUAAGUCUGAUUAGCUAGUUGGUGGGGUAAAGGCCUACCAAGGCGACGAUCUGUAGCGGGUCUGAGAGGAUGAUCCGCCACACUGGGACUGAGACACGGCCCAGACUCCUACGGGAGGCAGCAGUGGGGAAUAUUGGACAAUGGGCGAAAGCCUGAUCCAGCCAUGCCGCGUGUGUGAAGAAGGCCUUUUGGUUGUAAAGCACUUUAAGCGAGGAGGAGGCUACUUGGAUUAAUACUCUAGGAUAGUGGACGUUACUCGCAGAAUAAGCACCGGCUAACUCUGUGCCAGCAGCCGCGGUAAUACAGAGGGUGCGAGCGUUAAUCGGAUUUACUGGGCGUAAAGCGUGCGUAGGCGGCUUCUUAAGUCGGAUGUGAAAUCCCUGAGCUUAACUUAGGAAUUGCAUUCGAUACUGGGAAGCUAGAGUAUGGGAGAGGAUGGUAGAAUUCCAGGUGUAGCGGUGAAAUGCGUAGAGAUCUGGAGGAAUACCGAUGGCGAAGGCAGCCAUCUGGCCUAAUACUGACGCUGAGGUACGAAAGCAUGGGGAGCAAACAGGAUUAGAUACCCUGGUAGUCCAUGCCGUAAACGAUGUCUACUAGCCGUUGGGGCCUUUGAGGCUUUAGUGGCGCAGCUAACGCGAUAAGUAGACCGCCUGGGGAGUACGGUCGCAAGA